RNAcentral lists this small RNA (107 nucleotides) under Caenorhabditis brenneri. RNAcentral describes it as "snRNA CBN33803". It matches the Rfam family "SL2 RNA". From Rfam's summary of the family: This family represents SL2 RNA. SL2 RNA is involved in trans splicing in lower eukaryotes. Lineage: Eukaryota; Metazoa; Nematoda; Chromadorea; Rhabditida; Rhabditidae. The record is from Rfam by way of RNAcentral.
GGUUUUAACCCAGUAACCAAGGUUGGCUGUCGUUUCGAACUCUCGAAAGAGUGUCGAAUAACUAAAACUUCUGGAAACGCUUCUUCGGGGUUAUCCGAAGAGGCAGA